RNAcentral lists this RNase P RNA (378 nucleotides) under Propionibacteriaceae bacterium. Its description in RNAcentral is "RNase P RNA component class A". It matches the Rfam family "Bacterial RNase P class A". Rfam says of the family: Ribonuclease P (RNase P) is a ubiquitous endoribonuclease, found in archaea, bacteria and eukarya as well as chloroplasts and mitochondria. RNAcentral also lists the same sequence under 1 other name. Lineage: Bacteria; Bacillati; Actinomycetota; Actinomycetes; Propionibacteriales; Propionibacteriaceae. The record is from RNAcentral.
CGAGUCGGCCGGGUGAUCGCGGCAGCAAUGUCGAGGAAAGUCCGGACUCCACAGGGCAGGGUGGUGGGUAACGCCCACCCGGGGUGACCCGCGGGAAAGUGCCACAGAGAACAGACCGCCUGGCAACAGGUAAGGGUGAAACGGCGGUGUAAGAGACCACCAGCAUCCUGGGUGACCAGGAUGGCUAGGCAAACCCCACCCGGAGCAAGACCAAGAAGGACUUCGGUCCGCGGAUGCCGUUUGAGCGUUGCUCGCGCGAGGCAUCCGGGUAGGUCGCACGGCGCAUGCGUCGAAGGCAGUCGGCAACGGCUGUCGCAGAUGGAUGAUCACCGGCUCCGCUUGGAGCCACAGAAUCCGGCUUACAGGCCGACUCGUCCC